GACGAACGCUGGCGGCGUGCUUAGCACAUGCAAGUCGAGCGGUAAGGCCUUUCGGGGUACACGAGCGGCGAACGGGUGAGCAACACGUGGGUGAUCUGCCCUGCACUUCGGGAUAAGCCUGGGAAACUGGGUCUAAUACCGGAUAUGACCUCCUAUCGCAUGGUGGGUGGUGGAAAGAUUUAUCGGUGCCGGAUGGGCCCGCGGCCUAUCAGCUUGUUGGUGGGGUAAUGGCCUACCAAGGCGACGACGGGUAGCCGACCUGAGAGGGUGACCGGCCACACUGGGACUGAGACACGGCCCAGACUCCUACGGGAGGCAGCAGUGGGGAAUAUUGCACAAUGGGCGGAAGCCUGAUGCAGCGACGCCGCGUGAGGGAUGACGGCCUUCGGGUUGUAAACCUCUUUCAGCAGGGACGAAGCGCAAGUGACGGUACCUGCAGAAGAAGCACCGGCUAACUACGUG
RNAcentral lists this ribosomal RNA (462 nucleotides) under uncultured bacterium. Its description in RNAcentral is "partial 16S ribosomal RNA". It matches the Rfam family "Bacterial small subunit ribosomal RNA", at positions 28 to 507 of the family's 1533-position model. The record is from RNAcentral.